GGUGUACCAGUUGUCUUGCCAAAGGCAUCGCUGGGUAGCUAUGUGUGGACGGGAUAAGUGCUGAAAGCAUCUAAGCAUGAAGCCCCCCUCAAGAUGAGAUUUCCCAUUACGCAAGUAAGUAAGAUCCCUCAAAGACGAUGAGGUAGAUAGGUUCGAGGUGGAAGUGUGGUGACACAUGGAGCUGACGAAUACUAAUCGAUCGAGGACUUAACCA
This 214-nucleotide ribosomal RNA is filed under the name Lysinibacillus fusiformis. RNAcentral's name for it is "23S rRNA. Bacterial LSU". It matches the Rfam family "Bacterial large subunit ribosomal RNA", at positions 2711 to 2925 of the family's 2925-position model. Lineage: Bacteria; Bacillati; Bacillota; Bacilli; Caryophanales; Bacillaceae. The record is from RNAcentral.